This 253-nucleotide ribosomal RNA is filed under the name uncultured bacterium. Its description in RNAcentral is "partial 16S ribosomal RNA". It matches the Rfam family "Bacterial small subunit ribosomal RNA", at positions 524 to 776 of the family's 1533-position model. The record is from RNAcentral.
UACGAAGGGGACUAGCGUUGUUCGGAAUUACUGGGCGUAAAGCGCACGUAGGCGGAUUUGUAAGUCAGGGGUGAAAUCCCGGGGCUCAACUUCGGAACUGCCUUUGAUACUGCAAAUCUCGAGUCCGAUAGAGGUGGGUGGAAUUCCUAGUGUAGAGGUGAAAUUCGUAGAUAUUAGGAAGAACACCGGUGGCGAAGGCGGCCCACUGGAUCGGUACUGACGCUGAGGUGCGAAAGCGUGGGGAGCAAACAGG